Molecule: ribosomal RNA, 274 nt
Filed under: uncultured bacterium
Lineage: Bacteria
Description: partial 16S ribosomal RNA
Rfam family: Bacterial small subunit ribosomal RNA
Source: RNAcentral
CUACGGAGGGUGCAAGCGUUAUCCGGAUUUAUUGGGUUUAAAGGGUGCGCAGGCGGACCUGUCAGUCAGUGGUGAAAUCCCGGGGCUCAACCCCGGAACCGCCAUUGAUACUACAGGUCUUGAAUACGGUUGAAGUAGGCGGAAUGUAGCAUGUAGCGGUGAAAUGCAUAGAUAUGCUACAGAACACCGAUCGCGAAGGCAGCUUACUAAGCCGAUAUUGACGCUCAGGCACGAAAGCGUGGGUAGCGAACAGGAGUAGAAACCCUAGUAGUCC